Molecule: ribosomal RNA, 676 nt
Filed under: uncultured Pseudomonas sp.
Lineage: Bacteria; Pseudomonadati; Pseudomonadota; Gammaproteobacteria; Pseudomonadales; Pseudomonadaceae
Description: bacterial SSU rRNA
Rfam family: Bacterial small subunit ribosomal RNA
Source: RNAcentral
GUCGAGCGGAUGAAGAGAGCUUGCUCUCUGAUUCAGCGGCGGACGGGUGAGUAAUGCCUAGGAAUCUGCCUGGUAGUGGGGGACAACGUCUCGAAAGGGACGCUAAUACCGCAUACGUCCUACGGGAGAAAGCAGGGGACCUUCGGGCCUUGCGCUAUCAGAUGAGCCUAGGUCGGAUUAGCUAGUUGGUGAGGUAAUGGCUCACCAAGGCGACGAUCCGUAACUGGUCUGAGAGGAUGAUCAGUCACACUGGAACUGAGACACGGUCCAGACUCCUACGGGAGGCAGCAGUGGGGAAUAUUGGACAAUGGGCGAAAGCCUGAUCCAGCCAUGCCGCGUGUGUGAAGAAGGUCUUCGGAUUGUAAAGCACUUUAAGUUGGGAGGAAGGGCAGUAAGCGAAUACCUUGCUGUUUUGACGUUACCGACAGAAUAAGCACCGGCUAACUCUGUGCCAGCAGCCGCGGUAAUACAGAGGGUGCAAGCGUUAAUCGGAAUUACUGGGCGUAAAGCGCGCGUAGGUGGUUUGUUAAGUUGAAUGUGAAAUCCCCGGGCUCAACCUGGGAACUGCAUCCAAAACUGGCAAGCUAGAGUAGGGCAGAGGGUGGUGGAAUUUCCUGUGUAGCGGUGAAAUGCGUAGAUAUAGGAAGGAACACCAGUGGCGAAGGCGACCACCUGG